CUGUAUAGUACAGGAGAAUAUUGUACUUUUUACUCCAUUACAUAAAGUGACAGCAGCAGUCUGACUUUUCAAAUUAGGACUUGACGUUAAAAACAUACAUGAUAAACUUACAAAUGUUGUUUAAAAUGUAACCUUAAGGAUUCCAAACGCUUUGCCACGUGUUGUAUGCAGAUCCACCAAAGAGACAUCAUAUAGUAUCCUUCAAAUAACCAUUUGAUGCCCACAGAGGUCAAAAUAUCUAAUAGUUCACGCACAAAAAGUCCAGAAAAUACAAUACAAGCUUGUGUAAACAUAAAUUGUUGCUGAUGUACUUUUACUUAUAUAGGCAAGAUUUUGAAUGCAUGACUCAUAUUUUACAUUCUGGUAUAGUGUAGGGGCUUUUAAUAAAUUAAAGGAUCAGAUUUUGUCUUCCACCACUGGUUAAUCUUCAUAUAUACUUCAGGUGGCUGCUCUCUAAGGAACGAGAGAUGUUUGGUGAGUGCCAGUGUACGUUAUAUCAGGGGAAAAAAGAAAAAAGGAUCAUAACACACAGUGUAUUAAAAGAUUAAAAUCUUAUCCUGAUGGCAAGGAUCCAGACACACUGAGUCCCCGACACAUUCGACUGGCUUUCCUGAGGAUCUGGGCUCCUAAACAUUUUCCAUUUUAAAAUUCCAGACUUCAUUCCCCAGGUGGUGCAGACAUAUCGCUCAUCGGCCUCUGUUUAUAACAGAACUUUACAGAUUAUGUAAUAUUACAUACAGUUUAUUCAGGGCUUUUUUUCUUUUUUUGUGGUGUUGCCUUUUCAUGUUCAUAAUGAGCAGAAUCUGAUUGUUUCUGUACCAGAGCCCACCUACAGAUCAGUUUAUCAACCCUUUUUGUUUGACAGGAGAUGGGAUUCAGGGACAUGCCUUUCUCUGGAAACUAACAGUCCAGACUGCAGGAAUGUUGGUUUCAUGAGGUCCGGCAGAGCAACACUGCCCCCAUGAGAGCAAAAAGGAGAAUUGACUGGGGAAGGACUGGGGCGCCACCUGCUGAGCAGAGCUGGAACAAGAUUUCAAGCCUCUCCAGCACAUCUAGAGCCAGAGUGGCCCUCUGGUGCCGCAGCAGCAGGCGGGUGUGCUCCGCGGUGAAGGAGAACUGGGGCAGGCCAGGGAGGGAGUCCAGGGCCUGCUGCGAGCCCAGGGCCCCGGCUCGGGCCCGAGUCGACAGCGUAUGGAUUUGGUGGACUGCGAUUCCUGGGGCCUGGGUCUGCUUAAAGGUCACGGCAAGGGAGCCGAUGUGUCUGUGGAGCAGCUUCGCCCACUGGACCGGCUCAGCCCACAGGUUCAGAUCCCCCUUCUCGAACAGGAAGUCCUCUUCGUUCUGGUCGAUGGGCAAAAUGGGAGUCUGGUUACUGGCAUGUUGAUACUGGAAGCCUCGUCUGGAACCGCGUCAUCGUAGGCUUCUUCAUCUCCCAGCAGCCACUCGGUCAGAGCGAGGACACCCGUCGGUACCUGCCCCCACAGCUCAAAGAGCCGACACAGGAGCUCCACGCCCGAGUCCAGGGCCACCGGAGGACACACGGACACACCGGAGACAUCUGAGGACAGGAGAGGCCACGCGGUUAAACACAGUCUGCGAACCGGGUUGAAGACAUUCAAGACCCACAGAAAUAGUUUACAGUCACACAGCAAAGAGCUCGGUGGUGUUUUUUGCCCCCAACUGCUCUUUCCAGGCAGCGCUGUGACUGCUGCCUUCAAGGCACC
Perca flavescens (yellow perch) is the source of this 1724-nucleotide long non-coding RNA. RefSeq lists it as uncharacterized. Lineage: Eukaryota; Metazoa; Chordata; Actinopteri; Perciformes; Percidae. The transcript has 4 exons. The record is from RefSeq and is a predicted model, not a curated record.